Molecule: ribosomal RNA, 521 nt
Filed under: uncultured bacterium
Lineage: Bacteria
Description: bacterial SSU rRNA
Rfam family: Bacterial small subunit ribosomal RNA
Source: RNAcentral
CCAGAGAACUUAGCAGAGAUGCUUUGGUGCCUUCGGGAACUCUGAGACAGGUGCUGCAUGGCUGUCGUCAGCUCGUGUUGUGAAAUGUUGGGGUUAAGUCCCGCAACGAGCGCAACCCUUAUCCUUUGUGCCAGCGGCUCGGCCGGGAACUCAAAGGAGACUGCCGGUGAUAAACCGGAGGAAGGUGGGGAUGACGUCAAGUCAUCAUGGCCCUUACGGCCAGGGCUACACACGUGCUACAAUGGCGCAUACAAAGAGAAGCGACCUCGCGAGAGCAAGCGGACCUCACAAAGUGCGUCGUAGUCCGGAUUGGAGUCUGCAACUCGACUCCAUGAAGUCGGAAUCGCUAGUAAUCGUAGAUCAGAAUGCUACGGUGAAUACGUUCCCGGGCCUUGUACACACCGCCCGUCACACCAUGGGAGUGGGUUGCAAAAGAAGUAGGUAGCUUAACCUUCGGGAGGGCGCUUACCACUUUGUGAUUCAUGACUGGGGUGAAGUCGUAACAAGGUAGGCGUAGCGAG